AGUGAACGCUGGCGGUAGGCCUAACACAUGCAAGUCGAACGGCAGCACAGGAGAGCUUGCUCUCUGGGUGGCCAGUGGCGGACGGGUGAGGAAUACAUCGGAAUCUACUCUGUCGUGGGGGAUAACGUAGGGAAACUUACGCUAAUACCGCAUACGACCUACGGGUGAAAGCAGGGGAUCUUCGGACCUUGCGCGAUUGAAUGAGCCGAUGUCGGAUUAGCUAGUUGGCGGGGUAAAGGCCCACCAAGGCGACGAUCCGUAGCUGGUCUGAGAGGAUGAUCAGCCACACUGGAACUGAGACACGGUCCAGACUCCUACGGGAGGCAGCAGAGGGGAAUAUUGGACAAUGGGCGCAAGCCUGAUCCAGCCAUACCGCGUGGGUGAAGAAGGCCUUCGGGUUGUAAAGCCCUUUUGUUGGGAAAGAAAUCCAGCUGGCUAAUACCCGGUUGGGAUGACGGUACCCAAAGAAUAAGCACCGGCUAGCUUCGUGCCAGCAGCAGCCGCGG
RNAcentral lists this ribosomal RNA (506 nucleotides) under uncultured bacterium. RNAcentral describes it as "partial 16S ribosomal RNA". It matches the Rfam family "Bacterial small subunit ribosomal RNA", at positions 29 to 523 of the family's 1533-position model. The record is from RNAcentral.